CAGAGAGGAGACCAUAUGAGGAAGAGGUAUGGUAGGUAUCUGGUCAGCAGAGGGGUCUGGUCUUGGAGCUGGUAGCUCAGGAGGAAUGGACUCCUAGAUAGGAGUGUGAAAGGAUUUAAACCUGUAGGGGAGUAUCAGGUAAAGUAGGUAAGGGUGAUAGGGAGGAGGGAAGCUCAAGAUAACCUAAGCUCUAGAGAGAGCUUGGCAAGCUGCUGUUUGAUGAGUCCAUUGGCUCUAUCAUCCUUUCCUGAGGGUUGUGGCUGGUAAGGGAUGUUGAGAGUUUCAGACACAAGCUCAGUGACCCUGGUGGUGAAGGCUGGACCAUUGAGUGUUUGGAUGGUCUGCAGCAUGACAAACCAAAAAAUUGUGUGUUCAAGGAGAACCUGAGCCACCAUAUCUGUUGUUUUCCUGGAGGUAGGGGAAAACAACACCCACCCCAUAAAGAUGUCCACAAGGGUUAGGCGAUAGCAUAACUUUAUAUGAGUGGUCAUAUGGGUGAAGCCAAUCUCCCAAACCUGGCUCACUUGGUGCCCUUGGAGCAAGUACAGGAACUGGUGUAUCUGGACUGCCCCCUGCAGGUUAACCUUAGCCAUGUCUAGCAGGAAGAGUGGACCUGGAAAAUGUGGGCUCUGAGGUCAAAGAGAGGAGCUAAAAAGUGGAAUAGAACUUUGGGCCCAAUGUGUAGCAUUUAGUGGAUAUCAAAGAUGAUGGAGAGCAUCUGAUUCUAAGGAAAGAUAAGGUUGUUAUUCAUAUAGAACUAUCCAUCCUUUGUCUGUGUGACUCCUGUAUCUAGGAGUGCAUCUUUUUUCUGUUGGUAUUCUGGCCAACAGGAGGGUUCUAGAAAGGGGCUAUAUCCUAUGAAUCCAGUGGAGCUUGAGAUCAGCCCCAAGGCUACUGUGUCAUCCCUAGCAUUGCUCAGGGACAUGAGGCAUAGGGCUUCUACAGCUUCUGGGCAGGAAUGAGGGGAGUAACAAAGGAAGGUAGGACAGGGAGGUCAUUGCAAGAUUUAAGGUAGGACUCUCUCAGGGUAAUUUGUAAGUUUUUCUAGAACAGUGAAUAAAAGGCUUGGACCCAUGAGGGCCCAAGGAGGGAAAAAGAAGAAUGACUCAGAAGGACUGAGAGGAAAUGGAUGGAGUAUACAAUGAUAGACUAGAACAGGGUGAUCUUGAGGGCUUCCCAGGUGAGUUCUGCUGCCACAGCUAGGGUUCUCAACCAGGGCUGCCAUCCAUAUGCAGUGGGAUCUAGCUGUUUUGACAAAAAGGCUGUGUCACAAUUGGAAGACCCAACAAGUUGAGCUGAAACACCUGAGUCCACUCCCAUCCUCUCAUCUGUAAUGAGGUGGUAGAGGGAUCCAGUGACAGAAGAAUCCCCAAAAUUGAAAGGAUCUGAUCUCCUGUGGUUGGCUGCAAAUCCCCAAGGCUCAGACUCAGAGAUCCUGAACUAAGUGGAAGGCACCAGAAAGUUUGCACACCAGGAGAAUUGAGAGUGUUACAAGUAGGCUUCCAGAGUUAAGUUUCCAGCACCCUCACAACUGCCUGUAACUCCAGUGUCCAGGAAUUCAACACAUUCUGGCCUCCGUGGGCCUUUGCACAUAUGCACAGACACAUAGACACAGGAUAAAAAUAAAAUAUCUUUAAUCAGAA
Non-coding RNA from Rattus norvegicus (Norway rat), 1643 nucleotides. Lineage: Eukaryota; Metazoa; Chordata; Mammalia; Rodentia; Muridae. The record is from RefSeq and is a predicted model, not a curated record.